Molecule: non-coding RNA, 72 nt
Organism: Phrynosoma platyrhinos (Desert horned lizard)
Lineage: Eukaryota; Metazoa; Chordata; Lepidosauria; Squamata; Phrynosomatidae
Source: the annotation of a GenBank genome assembly
GCCAGUGUGGCCUAGCGGUUUGCAUGUUGGACUACAGCUCUGGAAAUCAAGGUUCAAUUCCCUGCUUAGCCA